UACGAACCGUCCAAACGUUAUUCGGAAUCAUUGGGCUUAAAGGGUAUGUAGGCGGCGCUGUUAGUCGGGUGUGAAAUCCCUCGGCUCAACCGAGGAAUUGCGCCCGAAACUGCAGUGCUUGAGGGAGACAGAGGUAAGCGGAACUGAUGGUGGAGCGGUGAAAUGCGUUGAUAUCAUCAGGAACACCGGUGGCGAAAGCGGCUUACUGGGUCUCUUCUGACGCUGAGAUACGAAAGCUAGGGGAGCGAAGGGG
RNAcentral lists this ribosomal RNA (253 nucleotides) under uncultured bacterium. RNAcentral describes it as "partial 16S ribosomal RNA". It matches the Rfam family "Bacterial small subunit ribosomal RNA", at positions 524 to 776 of the family's 1533-position model. The record is from RNAcentral.